AGCAGCCGCGGUAAUUCCAGCUCCAAUAGCGUAUAUUAAAGUUGUUGCAGUUAAAAAGCUCGUAGUUGAAUUUCGGGAUCAGUUGGUCGGUCGUGCCUCGGUACGUACUGGUCAAAUUGAUACCUACCUUCUGACGAACCACGAUGUCAUUAAUUUGGUGUCGUGGGAAAUCAGGACUGUUACUUUGAAAAAAUUAGAGUGUUUAAAGCAGGCUCGCGCUUGAAUACAUUAGCAUGGAAUAAUGAAAUAGGACGUUUGAUUCUAUUUUGUUGGUUUCUAGGAUCGACGUAAUGAUUAAUAGGGAUAGUUGGGGGCAUUAGUAUUCAAUUGUCAGAGGUGAAAUUCUUGGAUUUAUUGAAGACUAACUACUGCGAAAGCAUUUGCCAAGGAUGUUUUCAUUAAUCAAGAACGAAAGUUAGGGGAUCGAAGACAAUCAGAUACCGUCGUAGUCUUAACCAUAAACUAUGCCGACUAGGGAUCGGAUGAUGUUAAUUUUUUAAUGACUCAUUCGGCGCCUUAC
RNAcentral lists this ribosomal RNA (520 nucleotides) under uncultured Glomus. RNAcentral's name for it is "SSU rRNA". It matches the Rfam family "Eukaryotic small subunit ribosomal RNA", at positions 569 to 1091 of the family's 1831-position model. The record is from RNAcentral. Lineage: Eukaryota; Fungi; Glomeromycota; Glomeromycetes; Glomerales; Glomeraceae.